RNAcentral lists this non-coding RNA (45 nucleotides) under Echinostoma caproni. The record is from RNAcentral. Lineage: Eukaryota; Metazoa; Platyhelminthes; Trematoda; Plagiorchiida; Echinostomatidae.
GCACCGCCGACGAGUCCCAAAUAGGACGAACAAGUUGUCCAGUGC